This 434-nucleotide unclassified non-coding RNA is filed under the name Hevea brasiliensis (rubber tree). Lineage: Eukaryota; Viridiplantae; Streptophyta; Magnoliopsida; Malpighiales; Euphorbiaceae. The record is from RNAcentral.
UAAGAAACAAGAUGUAGUGGCCAGAUCAAGUGCAAAUGCAUAGUAUCAGGCUAUGGCUUUAGCCACAUGUGAACUUAUAUGGUUAAAACAACUUCUUUAGAAGUUAAAAUGUGGAGAUGAUGAACAAAUGAAGUUGAUUUGUGACAAUCAAGCUAUGUUAUAUAUCACUUCUAAUCUUGUGUUUCUAAGAGGACGAAGCAAAUUGAGAUAGAUUGUCACUUUAUUCGACAAAAAAUCGAGUCUGGAUGUAUUACCACUAGUUUUGUCAGUUCAAAUCACCAUUUAGCAGACAUUCUUACAAAAUCUCUUCAAUAGAAUAGAAUUGAGUAUAUUUGUAAUAAGCUAAGAGCACACAAUAUGUACGCUCCAACUUGAGGGAGAGUAUUAAGAUAGAGACAUGUAUAGCUUUAAAUUAGGGGAUCGACUCCAAUCCC